Pelobates cultripes (western spadefoot toad) is the source of this 199-nucleotide non-coding RNA. NCBI's taxonomy places the organism in Eukaryota, Metazoa, Chordata, Amphibia, Anura, Pelobatidae. The record is from the annotation of a GenBank genome assembly.
UGACAGAGUGAGAGAGGGGUGACUAGUGACCGAGUGAGGGAGGGAGUGGGUGACUAGUGACAGAGUGAGGAAGGGGGUGACACAGUGAUAGUCACCCCAUUCCUCCCUCUGUCACUAAUCACCACCUCCCUCACUCUCACUAGUCACCCUUCCCUCCCUCACUCUGUCACUAGUCACACCCUCCCUCUCUCUGUCACUA